RNAcentral lists this ribosomal RNA (367 nucleotides) under uncultured Bacteroides sp. RNAcentral's name for it is "bacterial SSU rRNA". It matches the Rfam family "Bacterial small subunit ribosomal RNA", at positions 527 to 896 of the family's 1533-position model. The record is from RNAcentral. Lineage: Bacteria; Pseudomonadati; Bacteroidota; Bacteroidia; Bacteroidales; Bacteroidaceae.
GGAGGAUCCGAGCGUUAUCCGGAUUUAUUGGGUUUAAAGGGAGCGUAGAUGGAUGUUUAAGUCAGUUGUGAAAGUUUGCGGCUCAACCGUAAAAUUGCAGUUGAUACUGGAUGUCUUGAGUGCAGUUGAGGCAGGCGGAAUUCGUGGUGUAGCGGUGAAAUGCUUAGAUAUCACGAAGAACUCCGAUUGCGAAGGCAGCCUGCUAAGCUGCAACUGACAUUGAGGCUCGAAAGUGUGGGUAUCAAACAGGAUUAGAUACCCUGGUAGUCCACACGGUAAACGAUGAAUACUCGCUGUUUGCGAUAUACGGCAAGCGGCCAAGCGAAAGCGUUAAGUAUUCCACCUGGGGAGUACGCCGGCMACGGUG